GGGAGACCUGCUUCUGCUAGCGGUGGUGCCGGAGGGCAGGAGUGUGACCACAGAGAGGUUUUUAAAAGUGAAAUCAGAGGCAGGCCCUCCGAGGUUCCGAACCCAGACUUCUUACGGAGGCUUCGGCCUCUGCCAAACCAACCUCCAGGCUGGUUUGCUCAGGCUGGCCCCUGCUCCCGCGCCCGGCCUCCUGCCUCCCUGCCGUGGGAGCAGGUUUCUCUGUGCUCUGUUGACAUUGGGAGCAGAGAGUUCUUUGUGGCGUGCGUUCUGUGCAUUGUAGGAUGGGUAACGGCAUCCCUGGCCUCUACUGCACUAGAUGGCUGUGCCACCCCGCUCCCCAGUUGUGACAAUCAAAUCUGCCUCCAGACGUUCCCAAAUGACCCGCGGUGGAGCAAAGUCGCCUGCACUGAGAACCACCACCUGACAACAAGCUCAGAGCCUUGUUUCCUUGUCGCAUGGCUGGCCUCCUGUUUUCCUUCAGCCCUCAACUGGAGUGGUGACUCCUUCUUGUACAUGGUCCCCACAACGAUGAGCUCCAUGGUGGCAGGGUUCUUGUGUCUCUUGUGCCUCACCAUGCCCUCCAGCACCUACACCAGUGUGGGACGUUACACCGGAGUGGAGCGGAAGAGUGUUCUCCAGAAACGGCCUCCAGCAUGGCUUCAGAAAUUGGGACCCAGGACUGUCAUAAUUCAGUUCAUCUGAGACCAUUUUGUCUUCCUCCUCCACCCUUAACUCCAGCUAAAACCAGGAUGGAGCAAUUGCCUAGGAAGUGGGCUUGCUGGUAAGUCAUCUGGGUAAGUAGUCCUUCCUAAAAGGCUUGAAGUGGCAUGCAUUAACUUUAUUUUUCAAAAUGUCUGACAUCUUGACUGUUGCCUAGCAAGGUGCUGGCACACAGUGGGCAGUAGAUACAUAUUUAAUGAGAGAAUAAUCGGAUGCCAAGAUAGGACUUAUCCCACCCUUUCCAUUAGUGCUAAUCAUCUUCAGCUGUUAGCUCAAAUGUCACUUUCCUGAUCUUCCCAGAUUAGAACAGAUCCCCCUUUUAUAUGUUAUUAGAGCACAGUGUACGUUUUUCUUACACCACACCCAUUAUAGUUUAUAAUUAUUUAUUUUGUGAAGCUGUUUAGUAGCUGUCUUCAAAGCUAGGAGGGAUGAGAUUUUGUGUGUUUUGUCCGCUACAAUAUUCCUAGAAUCUAGGACAGCACUCGCCAGUGAUAGAUACGUGUGGAAUUAACUGAAUAAAUGAAUGAUUGAAUAUUUGUUGAAUUGUAAAUGGUGCCGGAAGAAAGUCUUACGUUCACCUAAUUUUUUUUGAGACUCUCGUGAUCUUCUACAGCGUGUAUUGGUAUCCUAAUUUCGCUAGUGGAAAAAGCAAACCCCUCAAGAUUCCGGUCUAGGAUCACACAUCUCAUAGGCAUUAGAAUUCAGACUUGAGUUAAAAGGCUCAAAACUAAUUCCUAGUCCAGCACUUCUUCUACACCCCAGCUGGUACAUACGCCAAAAACUCUGAGUGUUUUAAGACUGACGGCAUGAUACGCUCAGGCAAAGAGCAGAAUAACGUUAAACGUGGAAUGAAAAUAAAGCCAUUCAGCUUGAAUCAUGUGGUGACUUAGUGGUGACGCUCUGCCCAAAACAGAUGUGCCAUUUUGGAUAACAGCAAGCUAACCCGGUUGGGUGGUCUUGUUUAAGAAGGAUAAAGCCAGGUGAAAGGGGGGUGGGAGGUGGGAGGCAGCAGUUACAGAGCUUAGGAUGUGCACCCAGGACUCGUGAGCACUUGUUGCUGGUCUGUGGGAGGUCUGCUAUGCACCCCAAUCUGGGUACCCAGAGGCUGCAAAACAAAUCCAGCGGGCAGAAAUGUUUUCAUUUGGUUGCGAUGUUUAAAAGAAGCGAACCAAGACCAUAUAAUUCAAGAUUCCAUUUCUAUGAAAUGUCUGGAGUAGGCAACUCUAUAGGGACAGAACGCAGACUGGUGUGUGAUUGCCAGUGCUGGGGGGAGGGGAAGAUUGGGGAGUGACCGCUAAAAGGUGUGGCGUUGCUUUUUGUAGUAAUGAAAUGUUCUGAAAUCGUGGCGAUGGUUGCACAACUCAGUGAAUAUACUAAAAACCAUUGAAUUGUACACUUUAAAUGGAUGAACUUUAAAUGGAUGAACUUUAAAUGGAUGAACUGUAUGGUAUGUGAAUUACAUUUCAAUAAUGCUGUUACC
Molecule: long non-coding RNA, 2200 nt
Organism: Phocoena sinus (vaquita)
Lineage: Eukaryota; Metazoa; Chordata; Mammalia; Artiodactyla; Phocoenidae
Source: Ensembl